Alligator sinensis (Chinese alligator) is the source of this 982-nucleotide long non-coding RNA. RefSeq lists it as uncharacterized. Lineage: Eukaryota; Metazoa; Chordata; Crocodylia; Alligatoridae. The record is from RefSeq and is a predicted model, not a curated record. The transcript has 4 exons.
CCCACUGCCCAGUCACAGGCUUUGUAUAGGAUGUUGGUAAAAUCCUCAUCCUCCUGUAUUUUAUUUUUUAUUUGCCAUUUGUAGUAAAGGGGAUGCCACCACACACUCAAGAAAGGUUUCAUCCAACUUUGCUCACUGGCACAUAUCACACGCCUGGAAAGCCUCAGAUUCCCAUCACCCACAAGUGCAGCCACAGCCUUCUCCUGGAUGCAAGGAAGCAGAUAGCUGCCAGAAAACUCAUGUAGGACUGAAACCAACUGGGUGCUUGCCAGGCUACCACUCUUCUUGUGGAAGACCACAAUAGAAGUCAUGCGAGGAAAGCAAUGCAUUUGAGGCACAGAAGUCACACGAAUGGGAGCCAUCUCUCUCACAGGGAAUAUAUCCCAAAUCUUUUUAUCCACAACGACAGAUACAGGAGGCUUAGCAACUUUGAUCCUGGCACAAACUCCUGGAAGGGUUCUGUAGUUCCUUAUACUUUGUAAUGAAAUUUGCAACUUGCAAACAUGAAGUUGCCUUUGAGAUGCAAAUGAUACUAUUUUGACGACCCAUCAGGGGACACUAGAAGACGCCUGUCUGCUGUUUGAACUUCUUCCGCCUCUACAAGGGUCACACUUCCCUCGAUCACUUUGGACAGCUAGAAUCCCAAGCAAUUCAUAAUAUUGGUCAAUACUUUUGUUCCUCCGCUUGUCGAGCUUCUGACAUCAAGGACUAUUUUUAUUCCUUUGCAGAUUUAGAACAUGGAGGACACACCUAUAAAAAACUAUUUUUAUUAAGAAAAAUUCAGGCAAGCUUCCCUAGUGAUUUGCUCAUAACAGAACUGCACCACACUUGACAAGAGGCACGCCCCCAAACGCACAGUCCCCUAAAAUUAGCAAGACGAUUUGCAACAGUGCCAUCUGGUGGCUCCCCGUAAUGUUACAGAUGCAACAAAAUUCUCAGAGCCGGGAGCUAUUAAAAGCAGCGAGUAAAUGUAAGACAAAGA